Xyrichtys novacula (pearly razorfish) is the source of this 144-nucleotide non-coding RNA. Lineage: Eukaryota; Metazoa; Chordata; Actinopteri; Labriformes; Labridae. The record is from the annotation of a GenBank genome assembly.
GAGGAAAAGAGAGAGAGAGGGCGAGAGAGAGAGAAAACAAGAAAUAGAGUAUUGAAUAUUGUGGGAUGUCCUGCUCUAAAUUAGGUCAGGACCAAUCAAAGCUUAAAUGCUCUUUCUCUCUCUUUCUCUCUCUCUCUUUGACUC